CACUAGUCAGAUGAGUUGCGAACGGGUGAGUAACGCGUAGGUAACCUACCUCAUAGCGGGGGAUAACUAUUGGAAACGAUAGCUAAUACCGCAUGACAAUUAAGUACUCAUGUACUAAAUUUAAAAGGAGCAAUUGCUUCACUAUGAGAUGGACCUGCGUUGUAUUAGCUAGUUGGUGAGGUAACGGCUCACCAAGGCCACGAUACAUAGCCGACCUGAGAGGGUGAUCGGCCACACUGGGACUGAGACACGGCCCAGACUCC
This 263-nucleotide ribosomal RNA is filed under the name uncultured Streptococcus sp. RNAcentral's name for it is "partial 16S ribosomal RNA". It matches the Rfam family "Bacterial small subunit ribosomal RNA", at positions 81 to 339 of the family's 1533-position model. The record is from RNAcentral. Lineage: Bacteria; Bacillati; Bacillota; Bacilli; Lactobacillales; Streptococcaceae.